CCCUAGCCCUGAUGGAAGCGGCAUCCUUUUGUGCCGGGGUUCGGCACAAAAGAUAUAGCGGACAGCAGGAAACAGC
RNAcentral lists this small RNA (76 nucleotides) under Flavobacterium sp. 245. RNAcentral describes it as "Flavo-1 RNA". It matches the Rfam family "Flavo-1 RNA". Lineage: Bacteria; Pseudomonadati; Bacteroidota; Flavobacteriia; Flavobacteriales; Flavobacteriaceae. The record is from RNAcentral.